GGCCUUGUGCCGGCGAUGGCUCAUUCAAAUUUCUUCCCUAUCAACUUUCGAUGUUUGGGUCUUGUCCAAACAUGGUGGCACGGGUAACGGAGGGUUAGGGCUCGACCCCGGAGAAGGAGCCUGAGAACGGCUACUACAUCCAAGGAAGGCAGCAGGCGCGCAAAUUACCCAAUCCCGACACGGGGAGGUAGUGACAAUAAAUACUGAUACAGGGCUCUUUUGGGUCUUGUAAUCGGAAUGAGUACAAUUUAAAUCCCUUAACGAGGAACAAUUGGAGGGCAAGUCUGGUGCCAGCAGCCGCGGUAAUUCCAGCUCCAAUAGCGUAUAUUAAAGUUGUUGUGGUUAAAAGCUCGUAGUUGAACCUUGGGCCUGGCUGGCCGGUCCGCCUCACCGCGUGCACUGGUCCGGCCGGGCCUUUCCCUCUGCGGAACCCCAUGCCCUUCACUGGGUGUGCGGAC
Molecule: ribosomal RNA, 458 nt
Filed under: Trichoderma sp. FBV16
Lineage: Eukaryota; Fungi; Ascomycota; Sordariomycetes; Hypocreales; Hypocreaceae
Description: SSU rRNA
Rfam family: Eukaryotic small subunit ribosomal RNA
Source: RNAcentral